RNAcentral lists this ribosomal RNA (330 nucleotides) under Magicicada tredecim (thirteen-year cicada). Its description in RNAcentral is "partial 12S ribosomal RNA". The record is from RNAcentral. Lineage: Eukaryota; Metazoa; Arthropoda; Insecta; Hemiptera; Cicadidae.
ACACAUAUUUAAUGAAAUUUACUUUCAAAUCCAGUUUCAUGAUUUUCAUUAUAGAAAACAAUUCAUUUUUUACAAUAAUGUAAUCCAUUUUUUCUUUAAAAUUAACUGCACCUUGACCUGACAUUUUAUUAAUAAAACAAAUGAAAAUUAUUCUGAUAAAACAUUCUUGACAGAGGUAUACAAAUUUAUUUAAAAUAGAAUCUAUCGUGGAUUAUCAAUUACAAAACAGAUUCCUCUGAUUAGAUAAAUUACCGCCAAAUUCUUUGAAUUUAAAGAUCAUAACUAUUAAUAAUCUAGUUAUUUUAUUUACACUCUCAAUAAUAGGGUAUC